Molecule: long non-coding RNA, 900 nt
Organism: Daphnia carinata
Lineage: Eukaryota; Metazoa; Arthropoda; Branchiopoda; Diplostraca; Daphniidae
Exons: 4
Source: RefSeq, a predicted model, not a curated record
GAUCUUUCCAGCCGUGGCAUAUUUGGUGACAAUAUCUAGAGAAUAUAACGAUACAGAGAAACUUUAACGCUUUCACAGCAAUGUUACUUUACUGUUACUAUUCGUGCAAAGACCAGCAGACACGCAACACAGUGUAAGGUUGACUCGUGAACAACCUUACUGGCUGACCAGAAUGCUGACCACGCUUAUAUUGUUGGAACCGUUCGUAACAAAAAAACAAAACAAACAAACCUGUCGCCUGUAUCGCUAUGUCUACUACAACCUGACAUAGAUUUGCGUGCCACAUCUUAUAUUUAGAUUUUUUUACGACAUGGAAAAGGCAAAGUGUUUGCUGAUGGUUGUGAUAAUAUUGGCCCCAUCUCAGUAAUGGAAAAGAUUUGUUGGAGGUGGGAGUCGUGUCAUACUAAAAGUUAAUAACCAUUUUACAUUACCGUGAACAUUUUAUUAGUUAUGAUGUUUCAUUUUUAAAAAUUUUUAUAUUAUUAUUAAAAUUUCAUCAACACAGCCACAGAAUAGGUGACAUGAAAAAGUGUUGAGUUAAUUACUUUUCCAAACAUUGCUGAAGGAAUUAUGGCUGUAUGACUGACCAAUGAACACAACCUCAUAAAAUAUUGAUAGGUUAACCUCUGAGUGAUGGUAACAAUAACACUAAGAAGGAGACGAGACCAAUUUGAGUCUUAUUUGCAUAAUCUUUUAUUGUUUAUAUCUUCGAGGUGUCUUAUUGACUUCCGUUCAUUAAAUUUGUGGAAAAGUAUAUUAAAUGGGGUGAUGCAAUCCUGUCAUUGUCGGAGAUCCUUUUCAUCAUGGAAAUAUUGCUAAUUUAGGUUGUGCAAAAUGUAAUGAACCAAUUAAUUGUUUUAAAUUGUCAGUAUGUUAGAAUUUUUAAUUUCUUUGGAUCGA